Molecule: long non-coding RNA, 272 nt
Organism: Triticum dicoccoides
Lineage: Eukaryota; Viridiplantae; Streptophyta; Magnoliopsida; Poales; Poaceae
Exons: 3
Source: RefSeq, a predicted model, not a curated record
AAAUGCAACCGGAAUUGUGAAUUAUCCGGAUGUUUCCAAGUGGCCUAUUCAAACGUAUGACAUGCCAAAACAACAUGAUGGGAAUUCGUGUGGAAUAUUUCUCCUUCGAUGCUUUCAAUAUUGGGAUGGUGACAAAUGGACAGGCUUAUUUUCACAGACCUCAAUUGAUGAUUCGAGAGAGUUAAUGAUUGCGCAACUUAUCUUUUCGGAAAGAAACAAGCUUGAUGAAGUGAAAAACAAAGUUAUUCGGAUAUCAAAGAAGAAGAAAUAGA